GAGAAGAAGCAGCAAAGAAGGGAUGAGUUAGGGGAACCACAGAGUGACUGCCUGAUUUGCACAAUGGAUUCUUGUCCCUCUUUCUCCCCAGGGAGCUAAGGAUUAUUUAAUUCUACUUUUCACAUGUUUAAGAAGUAGUUUUACUUUUAAAGUAUUAUGAUCUCCUCUCUCUUCCCUAGGGUUCGAUGUAAAUAGCAAACUUGAAAAGUCUGAGUGAGCUGAGGACUAUGGAAUAAUAGAUGUGGUUUGGAAAAUGGAGAGUAAUUGACUUGAAGGGUGAAAAGACUGAAGCUGUAAUUUGUGAUGCAUAGAGUCAUAGAAUGGCUUGGGUUGGAAAGGACCUUAAGGAUCACCUAGUUCCAACCCCCCUGCCAUGGGCAAGGACACCACUCACUAGAUCAGGGACUCAUCUAACCUGGCUGUGAACACCUCCAGGGUUGGGACAAACAAAUUAGGAGGGCGCAGUUUUAAAUGGUCUUGAAGAAAAGGACAAGGACUCUUAUUUUGCUUCAGAGAAAGAAGGAAAUCCAGUAGAAGGAAAACCAAUCUGAUCAGAACUUUUUGUUAGUGGUUUUGCUUUCUGUGAACCAGAAUUCCCUAAUAUUGGAAAGUGGUAGGCAGAGAUUAUUAUGGGCACAGCCAUAGGUGAUAUACAGGACACAGCUGCAAACAGCUCUAGAGACUCUUUUUUUCUGCUCGACUAUUCCAGCAGAUGACUACUGUACUUUCAGAGAGGGAGAGUAAAAGCAAUCUGUUUUCAAAAGCCAGACAGUCAGCCAGUGCUUGCCUGGUCUGAGUGAGAGGGAAUGGACAACCCACAGAUUUGUCUGUGGGUUUGAAUGUAAGAGGAACAGAAUAUCUGGUCUGGGGGAGGCAUAUACAGAUGUGAAAAGGACAGUAAGAGACUGACGUCCUUCUUACCAGACAAAUCUUCACUGAUUGAGAAAUUUGACACAUGGCUUUUAAACAAUAUUCCAUUCACACUACAGGGUCUAUCCCACUGCAUGCUAUGUUUCAAACAAUCUGGUCCACUGAAGGCAAGGGGAUCUUUCAGCAUUUACAGGGGCGAAAAACACUCAACACAUGUUAGUGGUGAGUAUAGAAUGUAAACUUUUGUGCUUAUAGGAUGUGGUCUGGCUCAUAUAAAACACCAACAUAUAAGAAAGUCACAUGAAAAGCAAAGGUGAGGGACAGGAAGGACCUGUUCUUUUGGUGGCACUCUCAGGUUGUAGCAGCAGGUUGAGAGAAGUGAUUAUUUCCCUCUACAUGUCACUUGUGAGACUGUAGCUGUAGUUCUGGGACCAGUUUUGGGCUCCCUCCAUUGCAGGAAAGACAUGAACUUACUAAAGCAAGUCCACUGUAGGUCCACCAAGCUGGUCAGGGACUGGAUCAAAGAGUGUGCAAGGAGAAACUAAGGGAAACACAUUGUUCAUCCUAAAGAAGAAAGGUUCAGGAGUGUUUGACUGAAGUCUACAACUAGUUAAAAGAUGAAUGGAAAGCAGAUGGAGCCAGAAUCUCUCUGGAUAUGCACAGUGACAAUGAGAGCAACAGUCAGGUUGAAACAAAUAAUCAAAUUUACAACACACAUGAAAAACUGUAGUAUGAAAAGCAC
This 1612-nucleotide long non-coding RNA is filed under the name Anas platyrhynchos platyrhynchos (common mallard). RNAcentral's name for it is "lncRNA (ENSAPLG00000025727.1)". The record is from RNAcentral. Lineage: Eukaryota; Metazoa; Chordata; Aves; Anseriformes; Anatidae.